AUGGACAAGUACAUGACUGCUCCAGUCCUAUUCUCUCUACUUCUUCUCGUAUGCCUUGCUACUACUACACAAUGUCAAAUCACCGACGACAUGGAUAAUGAUCUGAUCAAUUUACCAGGCGGGUUUUUGAUUGGUCGAACAUGUUCAGAUUACUGUACCGGCCCGCUUCGCUUCCCUUGCAAGCGACAACGCUUACCGGCGCUUGCAGUGCAGAAUAGAAGCUCUAUGGGCAAUUCAUAUUUGGCGCUGCAGGCGCCCGUUCUAGUGCAAUUUGCAAACAGCACGAUGAAUCAUGCAAUAUUUCUUCUUUCCACCUUUUUAUUCCUUUCUGUUUGCGAAACACCACCAGGCUUCAACCCUACUGCGUUGUAUGCGAACACGCGCUUGGCGUGGAACCCUGCAAAGGAGGUUGUGUGGAGGAGACUUGAUGAGAAUCUAUUCACGGUGCAAUUGGUUUCCCUGGGAGACUCGAACAAGGCUAUGAACAUGGGGCCAUGGUUGCUUCGGUGCCAAGCUGUGAUUAGAAGAGUACGACGGGUUCCAAAACCCAAGAGAGGUAACUAUCUUCAGGAUGACGUGAUCAAAGGCAUGUGUGGUCCUAUGGGCGAGAUACUAGAAGUUCGUAUUAGACUCCCGGCUGGCUAUGUUGGCAAGUUUGUCCGUGUGCAUGCAAAGAUUGCUGUGAACAAGAGGCUUAGCAGGUUGUGUCAAAUCACCAAAUCGCCAACGCCACCUCUUCCUCCCCACCAGCUCCACCGGCGAGCCCCUAUGCUGCCUACGCGCGCACAACCUCCGUACCCUGCUGCUCUCCCUGCUGGCCCUCUUCCCUCGCCCGGAUCGCUGCUCUGCCUCGACCGGCCAGCGCACCGCCAUAACCGGCCAGCGCGCCGCCAUAAUCGGCCAGCCCAAGCUCGCAUCGCCCGCUCCGUCCGCGCCUGCGACGACCUCCUCGACGCCCUACUCUUCUGCGGGCCGAGGUCCUUGCUGGCGCCCUCCGUCUCGUGCUCGAGCCGCCCUCCGCGCACCCCCUUCCCCUCGGCUAGAUCCGACCGCCUGCCAUCUCGACCUUGCGGCCUCUCGAUGAUCUGCUGCAUGAACAUGGUGGCAUGCUCUUCCAGGACGAUGAGGACUACUCGGGUGGUAGUGGCCAAGGACAAGGCCAGGGACUACAACGAUUUAGCUUCCCACGCCGCCCAGCUCUUCCGCCCGAGGGAUGUCCGCCGUGCUGAUCUAACCGCCAUGUCCCCUUUGUCGCGGGCGCCUCCCAUCUCGUGUCGCCCCCGCCGCUCCUCCCCACCACACGCGAGGAGGGCGGCGCCGCUGCCCCUGCCCCGUCGGUUGUUCCCCCAUCUUCUUUACGAUGGACACGAUCCAACAUUUAACCCUAUUUUCUUCAGAUCUCUACCAAAGGACUGGGCUUAUGCUUGUAGUGUGUACGAUGAUGAGCACCUGGUGGAAGUUACAACCUUGCAUUUUGUAGUUUAUUUCAAAUUCAUAGAUAUAUUCUUCAAUGCUUCCUAG
RNAcentral lists this ribosomal RNA (1521 nucleotides) under Triticum aestivum (bread wheat). Its description in RNAcentral is "partial small subunit ribosomal RNA". The record is from RNAcentral. Lineage: Eukaryota; Viridiplantae; Streptophyta; Magnoliopsida; Poales; Poaceae.